RNAcentral lists this ribosomal RNA (440 nucleotides) under uncultured bacterium. RNAcentral describes it as "partial 16S ribosomal RNA". It matches the Rfam family "Bacterial small subunit ribosomal RNA", at positions 338 to 795 of the family's 1533-position model. The record is from RNAcentral.
CCUACGGGUGGCAGCAGUAGGGAAUAUUGCUCAAUGGGGGAAACUCUGAAGCAGCAACGCCGCGUGGAGGAUGACGGUUUUCGGAUUGUAAACUCCUUUUGUUAGAGAAGAUAAUGACGGUAUCUAACGAAUAAGCACCGGCUAACUCCGUGCCAGCAGCCGCGGUAAUCCGGAGGGUGCAAGCGUUUCUCGGAAUCACUGGGCGUAAAGAGCGCGUAGGCGGGAUAGCAAGUCAGAUGUGAAAGCCUAUGGCUUAACCAUAGAACUGCAUUUGAAACUGGUAUUCUAGAGUAUGGGAGAGGUAGGUGGAAUUCUUGGUGUAGGGGUAAAAUCCGUAGAGAUCAAGAGGAAUACUCAUUGCGAAGGCGAGCUGCUAGAACAUAACUGACGCUGAUGCGCGAAAGCGUGGGGAGCAAAUAGGAUUAGAUACCCCAGUAGUC